ACGCUCGACACCUACGGGGGCAGCAGUGAGGGAUAUUGGUCAAUGGGGGAAACCCUGAACCAGCAACGCCGCGUGAGGGAUGACGGUCUUCGGAUUGUAAACCUUUGUCCUCUGUGAAGAUAAUGACGGUAGCAGAGGAGGAAGCUCCGGCUAACUACGUGUCAGCAGCCGCGGUAAUCUGAGCGGGCUGGCAAGGC
This 197-nucleotide ribosomal RNA is filed under the name uncultured bacterium. RNAcentral describes it as "partial 16S ribosomal RNA". It matches the Rfam family "Bacterial small subunit ribosomal RNA", at positions 328 to 539 of the family's 1533-position model. The record is from RNAcentral.